UGGAGGUGAUGUCAAACCCUGUCCUGACCCACCGUGGGGGGAAAAGACUGAUUUAAUGAGGCUGAUCC
Strigops habroptila (Kakapo) is the source of this 68-nucleotide small nucleolar RNA. The record is from Ensembl. NCBI's taxonomy places the organism in Eukaryota, Metazoa, Chordata, Aves, Psittaciformes, Psittacidae.